This 465-nucleotide ribosomal RNA is filed under the name uncultured bacterium. Its description in RNAcentral is "partial 16S ribosomal RNA". It matches the Rfam family "Bacterial small subunit ribosomal RNA", at positions 28 to 507 of the family's 1533-position model. The record is from RNAcentral.
GAUGAACGCUGGCGGCGUGCUUAACACAUGCAAGUCGAACGGAAAGGCCCAAGCUUGCUUGGGUACUCGAGUGGCGAACGGGUGAGUAACACGUGGGUGAUCUUCCCUGCACUUCGGGAUAAGCCUGGGAAACUGGUUCUAAUACCGGAGAGGACCACAUUUUGGAUGGUGUGGUGGAAAGUUUUUCGGUGUGGGAUGAGCUCGCGGCCUAUCAGCUUGUUGGUGGGGUAAUGGCCUACCAAGGCGUCGACGGGUAGCCGGCCUGAGAGGGUGUACGGCCACAUUGGGACUGAGGUACGGCCCAGACUCCUACGGGAGGCAGCAGUGGGGAAUAUUACACAAUGGGGGCGAGCCUGAUGCAGCGACGCCGCGUGGGGGAUGACGGCCUUCGGGUUGGAAACGCCUUUCACUAGGGGCGAAGCGCAAGUGACGGUACCAGGAGAAGAAGCACCGGCUAACUACGUG